UCUGGGUUCAGCGGUGUGUGCCUGUAGUCCCAGCUACUUGGGAGGCUGAGGCUGGAGGAUCUCUUGAGUACAGGAGUUCUGGGCUGUAGUGCACUAUGCCAAUCCGGUGUCCGCACUAAGUUCAGCAUCAAUAUGGUGACCUCCUGGGAGCGGGGGACCACCAGGUUGCCUAAGGAGGGGUGAACCGGCCCAGGUUGGAAACAGAGCAGGUCAGAACUCCCAUGCUGAUGAGUAGUGGGAUCGCACCUGUGAAUAGCCACCGCACUCCAGCCUGGGCAACAUAGCGAGACCCCCCCCAC
This 299-nucleotide signal recognition particle RNA is filed under the name Aotus nancymaae (Ma's night monkey). RNAcentral's name for it is "Metazoan signal recognition particle RNA (ENSANAG00000008167.1)". It matches the Rfam family "Metazoan signal recognition particle RNA". From Rfam's summary of the family: The signal recognition particle (SRP) is a universally conserved ribonucleoprotein. It is involved in the co-translational targeting of proteins to membranes. The record is from RNAcentral. Lineage: Eukaryota; Metazoa; Chordata; Mammalia; Primates; Aotidae.